CGCGAUCGUGCUGAUCCCCCCUGAAGCGCGAUCGCGUGGGCGGCACCCUUUCCCCCAAUGGGUGUCGCCCUCCUCU
Molecule: regulatory RNA element, 76 nt
Organism: Microbacterium oleivorans
Lineage: Bacteria; Bacillati; Actinomycetota; Actinomycetes; Micrococcales; Microbacteriaceae
Rfam family: 6C RNA
Source: Rfam